Molecule: ribosomal RNA, 972 nt
Filed under: Nocardiopsis sp. J8CMKA03
Lineage: Bacteria; Bacillati; Actinomycetota; Actinomycetes; Streptosporangiales; Nocardiopsidaceae
Description: bacterial SSU rRNA
Rfam family: Bacterial small subunit ribosomal RNA
Source: RNAcentral
ACACGAGCGGCGAACGGGUGAGUAACACGUGAGUAACCUGCCCCUGACUCUGGGAUAAGCCGUGGAAACGCGGUCUAAUACCGGAUAUGACACCGUGCCGCAUGGCGGGGUGUGGAAAGUUGUUUCGGUUGGGGAUGGACUCGCGGCCUAUCAGCUUGUUGGUGGGGUAAAGGCCUACCAAGGCGAUUACGGGUAGCCGGCCUGAGAGGGCGACCGGCCACACUGGGACUGAGACACGGCCCAGACUCCUGCGGGAGGCAGCAGUGGGGAAUAUUGCGCAAUGGGCGGAAGCCUGACGCAGCGACGCCGCGUGGGGGAUGACGGCCUUCGGGUUGUAAACCUCUUUUACCACUCACGCAGGCCCGGGGUUUUCUUCGGGUUGACGGUAGGUGGGGAAUAAGGACCGGCUAACUACGUGCCAGCAGCCGCGGUAAUACGUAGGGUCCGAGCGUUGUCCGGAAUUAUUGGGCGUAAAGAGCUCGUAGGCGGUGUGUCGCGUCUGCUGUGAAAGGCUGGGGCUCAACCCUGGUUUUGCAGUGGAUACGGGCAUGCUAGAGGUAGGUAGGGGAGACUGGAAUUCCUGGUGUAGCGGUGAAAUGCGCAGAUAUCAGGAGGAACACCGGUGGCGAAGGCGGGUCUCUGGGCCUUACCUGACGCUGAGGAGCGAAAGCGUGGGGAGCGAACAGGAUUAGAUACCCUGGUAGUCCACGCCGUAAACGUUGGGCGCUAGGUGUGGGGGCUUUCCACGGUUCCCGUGCCGCAGCUAACGCAUUAAGCGCCCCGCCUGGGGAGUACGGCCGCAAGGCUAAAACUCAAAGGAAUUGACGGGGGCCCGCACAAGCGGCGGAGCAUGUUGCUUAAUUCGACGCAACGCGAAGAACCUUACCAAGGUUUGACAUCACCGGUAAUCCGUUAGAGAUAGCGGGUCCUUCGGGGAUCGGUGACAGGUGGUGCAUGGCUGUCGUCAGCUCG